Molecule: transfer RNA, 98 nt
Filed under: Penicillium arizonense
Lineage: Eukaryota; Fungi; Ascomycota; Eurotiomycetes; Eurotiales; Aspergillaceae
Rfam family: tRNA
About the family: Transfer RNA (tRNA) molecules are approximately 80 nucleotides in length.
Source: Rfam by way of RNAcentral
GCCAGUGUGACCGAGUGGUUUAAGGUGCCAGAUUUAAGAUUCUCCGGAAUAAAACCCUGGUGGGGCAACCCGCGCGAGUUCGAACCUCGUCGCUGGCA